GAUGAACGCUGGCGGCGUGCUUAACACAUGCAAGUCGAACGAUGAAGCCCAGCUUGCUGGCUGGAUUAGUGGCGAACGGGUGAGUAACACGUGAGUAACCUGCCCUUAACUCUGGGAUAAGCCUCGGUAACUAGGUCUAAUACCGGAUACGAGCGCCUACCGCAUUUUGGUUGUUAGAUUGAUUUAUUGGUUUUGGAUGUACGCGAGGCCUAUCAGCUUGUGUGUGAGGUAUGGGUUCAUCAAGGCUACGCAGGGAGGCCGGCCUGAGAGGGAGACCGGCCACACUGGGAUUGAGGCGGGAGCCGGACUCAUUCGGCAGGCAGCGGUGGGGAAUAGUGCACGAUGGGCGACAGCCUGAUGCAGCGACGCCGGGUGAGGGAUGACGGCCUGUGGGGUGUAAACCUCUUGAGGGAGGGAAGAAGCGAAAGUGACGGUACCUGCAGAGGAAGCGCCGGCUAACUACGUG
This 466-nucleotide ribosomal RNA is filed under the name uncultured bacterium. Its description in RNAcentral is "partial 16S ribosomal RNA". It matches the Rfam family "Bacterial small subunit ribosomal RNA", at positions 28 to 507 of the family's 1533-position model. The record is from RNAcentral.